This 76-nucleotide transfer RNA is filed under the name Desulfonatronum thiosulfatophilum. RNAcentral's name for it is "tRNA_Thr_CGT". It matches the Rfam family "tRNA". Rfam says of the family: Transfer RNA (tRNA) molecules are approximately 80 nucleotides in length. Their secondary structure includes four short double-helical elements and three loops (D, anti-codon, and T loops). The record is from RNAcentral. Lineage: Bacteria; Pseudomonadati; Thermodesulfobacteriota; Desulfovibrionia; Desulfovibrionales; Desulfonatronaceae.
GCCGACGUAGCUCAGUUGGUAGAGCAGCUGAUUCGUAAUCAGCAGGUCGUCAGUUCAAUUCUGAUCGUCGGCUCCA